AUCAACUUUCGAUGGUAGGAUAGAGGCCUACCAUGGUGGUAACGGGUAACGGGGUGUUAGGGCACGACACCGGAGAGGGAGCCUGAGAAACGGCUACCACAUCCAAGGAUGGCAGCAGGCGCGCAAAUUACCCAAUCCCGACACGGGGAGGUAGUGACAAUAAAUAACAAUACGGGGUUCUUUAGGAUCUCGUAAUUGGAAUGAGUACAAUUUAAAUCUCUUAACGAGGAACAAUUGGAGGGCAAGUCUGGUGCCAGCAGCCGCGGUAAUUCCAGCUCCAAUAGCGUAUAUUAAAGUUGUUGCAGUUAAAAAGCUCGUAGUUGAAUUUCGGGGUUAGUAGGUUGGUCAUGCCUCUGGUAUGUACUGGUCUCACUGAUUCCUCCUUCCUGAUGAGCUGUAAUGCCAUUAAUUUGGUGUUGCGGGGAAUUUGGACUGUUACUUUGAAAAAAUUAGAGUGUUUAAAGCAAGCUAACGCUUGAAUACAUUAGCAUGGAAUAAUGAAAUAGGACGUUCGAUCCUAUUUUGUUGGUUUCUAGGAUUGACGUAAUGAUUAAUAGGGAUAGUUGGGGGCAUUAGUAUUCAAUUGUCAGAGGUGAAAUUCUUGGAUUUAUUGAAGACUAACUACUGCGAAAGCAUUUGCCAAGGAUGUUUUCAUUAAUCAAGAACGAAAGUUAGGGGAUCGAAGACGAUCAGAUACCGUCGUAGUCUUAACCAUAAACUAUGCCGACUAGGGAUCGGAUGAUGUUAAUUUUUUAAUGACUCAUUCGGCGCCUUACGGGAAACCAAAGUGUUUGGGUUC
This 799-nucleotide ribosomal RNA is filed under the name uncultured Glomeraceae. RNAcentral's name for it is "SSU rRNA". It matches the Rfam family "Eukaryotic small subunit ribosomal RNA", at positions 314 to 1114 of the family's 1831-position model. The record is from RNAcentral. Lineage: Eukaryota; Fungi; Glomeromycota; Glomeromycetes; Glomerales; Glomeraceae.